RNAcentral lists this long non-coding RNA (627 nucleotides) under Sinocyclocheilus grahami. Its description in RNAcentral is "lncRNA (ENSSGRG00000055063.1)". Lineage: Eukaryota; Metazoa; Chordata; Actinopteri; Cypriniformes; Cyprinidae. The record is from RNAcentral.
GGAGAGGAGAGGAGAGCUGGCUGUCUUGCGUGUCAUUCAUGAGGACUAGGCAGGAAAGAGAGGGAGAUUAGGAGUGUCUGGGUGGGUGGGAUUGAAGAUGAAGAGGAGAUAGAUAGAGAGAUAGACUGAGGGAGAGGGGGUUUGUUUGUUUUGUAUUUGGGUCAUCAUCACUCUUGAAGUAAGGAUGGAUGGAGGAACCAAGUCCACAGAGACCUGAAUUCAUUACUCGAUUCACAUCUACAGAUUGUCUCUCUCUCUCUUUCGCUCUUUCUCCCUCUUUUGUUGAGUAAACCUGGAUCCAGAGAGUGGCAUGUUGCUCUGGAUGGGAAGAGAGACAGUGGGGCGAGAGUAAGAGGAGGAUGGCGUACACACAGUUGGAACCCAUCAAUGAGGGUCUUCUGUCCAGACUGUCUGACUUCCUGUUGUGUCGCUGGUCCUGCCGCUCCUGUUGGCAGUGGUGCUGGGAGUGCAGCUGCUGUCAGCCCACUGAUGAGGAGGUGGAGAUUCUGGGGCCUUUUCCAGCUCAAACUCCAUCAUGGCUGUGAGUACACACCCGUACAACCCUCAUACAACCCACAAACAAUGCUCACACUUCCCAAAUAACCCAGAACAAUUCAUCAUUCAUCU